UGAGGAAUUUUCGUCAAUGGGGGCAACCCUGAACGAGCAACGCCGCGUGCAGGAAGAAGGUUUUCGGAUCGUAAACUGCUUUUCUCUGGGACGAGCAAGGACGGUACCAGAGGAAUCAGCCUCGGCUAACUACGUGCCAGCAGCCGCGGUAAUACGUAGGAGGCAAGCGUUGUCCGGAGUUACUGGGCGUAAAGCGCACGCAGGCGGUCCGGUCAGUCUGUAGGGACAGGGCACAGCUUAACUGUGUCAGGCUUAUGGAAACUGCCAGACUUGAGGGCUUCAGAGGGAUGGGGAAUUCCGGGUGGAGUGGUGAAAUGCGUAGAGAUCCGGAAGAACACCAAAGGCGUAGGCACCAUCCUGGGGAGUCACUGACGCUCGGGUGCGAAAGCCAGGGGAGCGA
This 400-nucleotide ribosomal RNA is filed under the name uncultured bacterium. RNAcentral's name for it is "bacterial SSU rRNA". It matches the Rfam family "Bacterial small subunit ribosomal RNA", at positions 355 to 771 of the family's 1533-position model. The record is from RNAcentral.